AUCUAUGUCAUGCUUACCGCUAAUCCGCUUGUUCGCGAAAAAAUGGCAGAUCCGUUUUUGUUUUCUUUAGCUCAUUAUUAAUUACGUGAUCUACAACUAGAAUUAUUUAAAUAUUCGCUUUAUUUUACUCGGCUUAAACAAACGACAAGCAAUUCUGCGCCGACGCCGGUCAUGCAUGAGCCGUCCAUAUUCGCCAUUUUGUCAUUUGUCCUUUAAGUAAGAAAAUGCAAACAAAACAUUAUUUGCCCUAAACACGCGUUACUCUCAGAUAAUAUUGCCGAAUGCCGACAAAGUGAUCUUGUUUUAUCAAACUGAACUCCGAACUGCAAUUGCAAUGUAAUUUUCCGAUAGCGAAAGUGAGGUUAUGAAAUUGACAUGACAUUUAGUGAAUGCAAUGCAAUGGACAUGUGUUUUGUUGUGUUUCUCAUCAAGAUAAUAGAAGAAUCUAGUGCUCAUACUCAUGAUCUAAUGAGCAAACAGCCCCUGUAAAGGAUGUCUUAUCGGGCUAUGUCUCUACUGAUAAAACGAAUGAAUUGCCUACUUCAAAAGCAGCUUAGCAAGAAGUUUCAACAUCUAAUUGGAAUUUCUCUGGAAAGUUUACAAUGUCCGAUAUUUCUACACAUCUGCCACAAAUUUAUGGAAAUCAAUAUUUAUAGAAACUGAACAUACCUUGAUUAAAUGUAUAUGAAAUGGAUUAUCAUCAUUGAAGAACAUCAACCAGCUGUCGGCAACAUGCAGGUUGACUGAGGAAUCCCCAGUGCGUGGUCACGGACCGUUCCCCAUAUAUCUACUGACUUCAUAUAAAUGAAAGUGUCGCUGAUCUGCACUACCAGCUCGUUCAACGUUACUGACCACAAAGUAAUCCGACAAUCAGAUCGGACCUGGUCAUGUUAGGUACCAAAGGAAAACGAAAAUAUCAUUGGUUCUAUACUGAUGCAUGACUUCGCUCGGAACGCGGCAAGAAUUAACAAUGGAAGAAAAUACUACAGACGUGUUUAUUAACAAUAAAGUUAUUUUUGUUUUUAUGAAAUAGCGAUUGAAUAAAAAUAUUA
Leguminivora glycinivorella is the source of this 1052-nucleotide long non-coding RNA. RefSeq lists it as uncharacterized. NCBI's taxonomy places the organism in Eukaryota, Metazoa, Arthropoda, Insecta, Lepidoptera, Tortricidae. The record is from RefSeq and is a predicted model, not a curated record. The transcript is spliced from 5 exons.